AACGUAACACUCGGGAUAAAACUACAAGUUGCAGAAAUCCACACUAAUCAGAUGCGCCUCCGCAGAACAUCAGUGAAUUCAGUUGCACGCAUCAAAGCGCACGAUGGUGGCUCUAUAUUCGCCUUCUAGUCAGAAUCACAUGCACCAGCAAACCAUUCCACCGAGUACUUGUACUUCAAUUCCAUCGCAGUCGCAACCUAACAUUCAUGGGAACCUCUCCAGGAAACUAACCCAGACCGGGUCGUACCCCUCGAGCUCACCCGAUACGGAAAAGCUACAGCAAAGGCGGGUGACAGAUCUGGCGCGAGGGCGCCCUUGGCGCGAGGGUUUGUUGUGGGUGUGAGCGGCGGGCGGAGAGCGUUACCGGGACCAUGAAUAUGAUGCGGACGAUGAACCGCUGGUAGAUGGGCUCGACGUAGUGGAGGAGGUGGCGGUAGAUGUGCGUGAGCGCGACCACGCUCGUCGCCGCGGCGCACACCAACGCCGCGGCCGUGUACACCGCUGACCCCCACUCCAUCGGGCCGGCCACCACCACCGGCGCUCCUCCCGUGUCCCGCCGCGGCGCGCGCGCAGCAGCAGCAACCAACGGACUGUGGGGGCGUGCGGGAUUCGCGGCGGGAUUCGUGGAGCGUGUGCUGCGGCGGGCAGACGAGCGGUAGCGGCGGGGGCAGUCUACACUACCUACUUAAUAGUUAGUAGAGUGUUCGUAUUUUCCAAGCUAGAAGUUUGGCAUUAGUGUUGCAGAAGUUGUACCAAAUGAUUACUCUUGGUCUUACAUUUUCCAAACUGCAAGCCAUCUUACAACUGCAGCAGAUAGAUUCACUUGUGGACCAUAACAAUAGAGCAAAUGUAUACACGUUAAUACAUAUCCUAUGACCCAAACAUAACACUCGGGACAAAACUACAAGUUGUAGAAAUCCACACUGAUCAGAUGCGCUCUCCGCAGAACAUCAGUGAAUUCAGUUGCACACAUCAAAGCGCACGGUGGUGGCUCUAUAUUCGCCUUCUAGUCAGAAUCACAUGCACCAGCAAAGCUUUCCACCUAGUACUUGUACUUCAAUUCCAUCGCAGUCGCAUCCUAACAUUCACGAGAACCUCUCCAGGAAACUAACCCAGACCGGGC
This 1123-nucleotide long non-coding RNA is filed under the name Zea mays. RNAcentral's name for it is "long non-coding RNA (ZMAY_LNC001131)". Lineage: Eukaryota; Viridiplantae; Streptophyta; Magnoliopsida; Poales; Poaceae. The record is from RNAcentral.